RNAcentral lists this transfer RNA (70 nucleotides) under Thermobia domestica (firebrat). RNAcentral's name for it is "tRNA-Ser". The record is from RNAcentral. Lineage: Eukaryota; Metazoa; Arthropoda; Insecta; Zygentoma; Lepismatidae.
GAGAUGUGAAAUUAAUCAAGAAGAAGCUGCUAACUUUUAUCUUUAGCGGGUUAGACCGUUAACAUCUCUU